Hydra vulgaris (swiftwater hydra) is the source of this 1136-nucleotide long non-coding RNA. RefSeq lists it as uncharacterized. The record is from RefSeq and is a predicted model, not a curated record. Lineage: Eukaryota; Metazoa; Cnidaria; Hydrozoa; Anthoathecata; Hydridae.
CUUUUUUGUUGCUUUCUUAAAAUCAGUUUACUCGGGCUUAACGCGUUUUGCAAAUGGGCUCCUCAUUUUAUUACGAAAUUCGACAAUAUCGCAGGUUCUUUUAUUUGUUUACUUUUAAUUUGUUUUAAAUUUAAUUUGAUAAAUUGUACUAUUUUUUUGUGUGUAUGGUUGCUCUGAGAAGUCCUGACGACAGUAUCAUCUUUAUCCACGACCAUCACGGGCAUUUGCAGGAAGACCACAACAAAGAAAAGAUUUUUACGAUGUUUACGUGUCAUUAUUAUGAGUAAAAAAAAGGAAAACGAGAUUAUUGCUGCAACAGUGUACAAUUACAGAACUGUGAACCUAAUAGCCUAUCUUUUUAUAAAAUUUAUAUAUUGAAAAAUAACAUGGUAAUACUUAAUAUUUUUUAACAUUGGUUUUCGUUCAAAUAUAAAAAUAAAAAAUUUCUUUAAUAUGGCAUUUCUUAAUACUUUUUUUCAAUUAUUUUUUUUUAACUUUAGCCGCCAUUAAAAGUCUAAAGUCACAGAGAUUUGUAUCACUAAUAAAAAAAAAAGAAAGUGUGAUUAGUUCACAUAGUUCACGCAAACUUCAUCUUAAACCGUUCAGAAUUAGGAAAAGUUUACUUACAUGAACAAAACUUCUGCCAUUCAUGUUGAAACUAAAAGAACUUAAUUAAAUGUAUGGUCUACUGGAAGGAUAUAAUACUCCAAGUGUUUUUAUGCAACCAAGUUUCUCGCUAGCAGGGUUGUAGUCGAGGUUGUAUUUGUAGUGUUUUAGACUUGUAUUUUCAGCCAAGUAUUUAUUCAUAUUGUUUUUGAGUUUUUCUAAAUGAGCGUCCAGCAUAUAAAGUUCAAAGGACAUUCUGCAUUCUAAAGUGCCGAAGGUUUUAAUUAAAUUUUGGAUCAAAAACGAAGAAUAUCAGAAUGAAAGAAAGAAGAAAUCGAGUUAGAAAAAUAGCAUAAAGAAAACUGGCAGAUAUUGCGCUUAAUUUUUAGUGUGCAAAGUUAUACAACUAAUCGGGUAUAACAAAUUAAUGUUAGUUAAAACAAAUUAAAUUUAGUUAUAAUAUUAUCAAGAAAUGUAGAAAAGUUGUUAAUCUUUUUGAUUGUUUAUUGUUGGAAUUAAGCGAUUUUGAA